RNAcentral lists this ribosomal RNA (422 nucleotides) under uncultured bacterium. RNAcentral describes it as "partial 16S ribosomal RNA". It matches the Rfam family "Bacterial small subunit ribosomal RNA", at positions 360 to 774 of the family's 1533-position model. The record is from RNAcentral.
AAUCUUCCACUAUGGACGACAGUCUGAUUGAGCAACGCCGCGUGAGCGAUGAAGGUUUUCGGUUCGUAAAGCUCUGUUGCGCGGUAUGAACAAGUACGGGCGUAACUGCCCGUACCUUGACGUUACCUCGUCAGAAAGCCACGGCUAACUACCUGCUAGCAGCCGCGGUAAUACGUAGGUGGCAAGCGUUGUCCGGUAUUAUUGGGCGUAAAGCGCGCGCAGGCGGUCCUUUAAGUCUGAUGUGAAAGCCCAGGGCUCAACCGUGGAGGGUCAUUGGAAACUGGAGGACUUGAGUACAGAAGAGGAAAGCGGAAUUCCACGUGUAGCGGUGAAAUAAGUAGAGAUGUGGAGGAACACCAGUGGCGAAGGCGGCUUUCUGGUCUGUAACUGACGCUGAGGCGCGAGAGCGUGGGAAGCAAACA